UACGGAGGGGGGCUAGCGUUGUUCGGAAUUACUGGGCGUAAAGCGCACGUAGGCGGCUUUGUAAGUUAGAGGUGAAAGCCCGGGGCUCAACUCCGGAAUUGCCUUUAAGACUGCAUCGCUAGAAUUGUGGAGAGGUAAGUGGAAUUCCGAGUGUAGAGGUGAAAUUCGUAGAUAUUGGGAAGAACACCGGUGGCGAAGGCGGCGCCUGGACGGUAACUGACGCUGAGACGCGAAAGCGUGGGGAGCAAACAGG
This 253-nucleotide ribosomal RNA is filed under the name uncultured bacterium. Its description in RNAcentral is "partial 16S ribosomal RNA". It matches the Rfam family "Bacterial small subunit ribosomal RNA", at positions 524 to 776 of the family's 1533-position model. The record is from RNAcentral.